This 387-nucleotide ribosomal RNA is filed under the name uncultured bacterium. RNAcentral describes it as "bacterial SSU rRNA". It matches the Rfam family "Bacterial small subunit ribosomal RNA", at positions 408 to 811 of the family's 1533-position model. The record is from RNAcentral.
AAGAAGGCCUUCGGGUAAUAAAGCUCAAUAGUAUGGGAAGAAAGAAAUGACGGUACCAUAAGAAAGCCCCGGCUAAUUACGUGCCAGCAGCCGCGGUAAUACGUAGGGGGCGAGCGUUGUCCGGAAUUACUGGGCGUAAAGAGCACGUAGGCGGCUAUAAAAGUCAGAUGUGAAAAACCUGGGCUCAACCGAGGGUUUGCAUCUGAAACUAAAUAGCUUGAGUCAAGGAGAGGAGAGCGGAAUUCCUGGUGUAGCGGUGAAAUGCGUAGAGAUCAGGAAGAAUACCAGUGGCGAAAGCGGCUCUCUGGACUUGAACUGACGGUGAGGUGGGAAAGCGUGGGGAGCAAACAGGAUUAGAUACCCUGGUAGUCCACGCCGUAAACGAUG